GACAGAGGGUGCAAACGUUGUUCGGAAUUACUGGGCGUAAAGCGCGUGUAGGCGGCUAAGUAAGUCGGGCGUGAAAUCCCACGGCUCAACCGUGGAAGUGCACUCGAAACUGCAUAGCUAGAGUCCUGGAGAGGAAGGUGGAAUGCUUGGUGUAGAGGUGAAAUUCGUAGAUAUCAAGCGGAACACCGGUGGCGAAGGCGGCCUUCUGGACAGUGACUGACGCUGAGACGCGAAAGCGUGGGGAG
This 245-nucleotide ribosomal RNA is filed under the name uncultured Chondromyces sp. RNAcentral's name for it is "partial 16S ribosomal RNA". It matches the Rfam family "Bacterial small subunit ribosomal RNA", at positions 524 to 768 of the family's 1533-position model. The record is from RNAcentral. Lineage: Bacteria; Pseudomonadati; Myxococcota; Polyangiales; Polyangiaceae.